This 220-nucleotide unclassified non-coding RNA is filed under the name Hevea brasiliensis (rubber tree). The record is from RNAcentral. Lineage: Eukaryota; Viridiplantae; Streptophyta; Magnoliopsida; Malpighiales; Euphorbiaceae.
UUUGACGGGCAGCAAGCCAAAAAUUAUAAUAGGAACUUUCAUGAAUUUUCAGUCCCUUGAAAGGUCUGCCAUGCAAUGUGUUGUGAAAAGUAUAUGUCUCAACUACAAAUCUAUCAUUACAUAGUCUCAUUUUACGUAAUCAUAUAUAAGCACUGGAACCUACCAAUGAGAUUAAUAACCUUAGCAGAGUGGAAAAUGAUUCCCAAGUCUUUGGUUACAG